Molecule: ribosomal RNA, 482 nt
Filed under: uncultured bacterium
Lineage: Bacteria
Description: partial 16S ribosomal RNA
Rfam family: Bacterial small subunit ribosomal RNA
Source: RNAcentral
GACGAACGCUGGCGGCGUGCUUAACACAUGCAAGUCGAACGCUGAAGCUCAGCUUUUGUUGGGUGGAUGAGUGGCGAACGGGUGAGUAACACGUGAGUAACCUGCCUCCUUCUUUGGGAUAACGCCCGGAAACGGGUGCUAAUACUGGAUAUUAACGGGUCUUGGCCGGGGGGUGGGUGGAAGGGGUUUUUUGGGGGGGGAUGGGCCCCGGGGCUGUCCGCUGGGUGGUGGGGUGGUGGGCCACCCAGGCUUUGACGGGUAGCCGGCCUGAGAGGGUGACCGGUCACAUUGGGACUGAGAUACGGCCCAGACUACUACGGGGGGCAGCAGUGGGGAAUAUUGCACAAUGGGCGCAAGCCUGAUGCAGCGACGCUGCGUGAGGGAUGGAGGCCUUCGGGUUGUGAACCUCUUUCGCUCAUGGUCAAGCCGCAACAAUGGUUGUAGUGAGGGUAGUGGGUAAAGAAGCGCCGGCUAACUACGUG